GGGCGGGACAGCUGGACGGGGUGGGCGGGGCAGCCGGACGGGGUGGGCGGGGCAGCGGAAUGGGGCGGGGCGAGUUGCGCGGCUGCUGCUUGGGACCCGCCCGCUCCACGAAGGCAAUUGGGAAAUCUGAGAAAUGUAUUGAGCGUCUGCUACGUGCCUCUGACUGUGUGUCUCCAAGUUUGCAUGUAGUUGGAAUGACCAGCAGGACAGUACCAGCCAAGAGCUUUAAGCUUUACAGCCUGAGACCACCAGAGACAAUCCUUAGACAAGUGUGCCUGGACUCUUCAUCGGGUCAAAACUUUUUGAGGUGUUUCUGAUCCUGUUUCAUCCUAAACAUUUGUCACUUGAUGAGGGAAGUUGCUGAGAGAAGCAACUGGAAGCAAGUAGAGAGGCCCACAGGAAGCUUAGGCAACCAAUUUUGGACCUGUUUGAAACCAACUUCCCUAUAUCAGAAACAGGAAAAGAAAGAAGUUACACUCUGCCUCAUGAGCCAACUGGAGAACUGAGCUCAGCAUCUUGCCUUAUUGGUGCACAUUCUAUUCACAUAAUGAAGUUCUUUCAUUUUCUGCUUGGAGAGACCUGCUGACCUCACACCUGAAUGAGGCGAUGUCGUCCUCCCUUCCAGUCUCUCAGAACCCAGCCACCAUCUUGUGAGGAAGCUUCCCACGUGGAGAGGGCCUAAGGACUUCUGACAGCAGCCAAAACCAACUUACCAGCUCUGUGAGCGAACCACCUUGGAAGUCUGUCCUCCAGACCAAGUGAAGCCUUCAGAUGACUGUAGUCACACCUAACAUCUGACUAUGACCUCACGAGGGACCCCUAACCAGAACCACUCGGCUAAACUACUGCCGGAUUCACAACCCACAGAAACCAUGAAAGACAUAAAUGGUCAUUGCCAUCUUAACCCGCUAAGUUUUGCAGUGAUUUUUUUUAUGCAGCUUUAGAGAACAAAGGAGAGGAGUGCAACAGAAAGGGGCCAUCCCAGAACCCUCAAAGGUGUGGGGCCUAGGACAGGGCCUCUUUUGCCUGGAUUUAGGGCCGUACUGAGGAAAGGAUAUGGAUUUUAUUUCAGUAGCUGGGUAUUUCCUAGGGAGGGAUGAGCUUAUUUAUACAAAAGAGGAACUUGCAGGACUGAGCAGGUGUUGGAGAUCAGGAAAUGUUUUUAUAAAAGCUGUAACAAAGCAGCCCUUUAUCUGGAGUAUACAAAGAAAUGAAAAUCUAAUGAGACCAUUUAUUUGCUUGAUUGUAUAAACACACAAAAAUGUACACAUCUUGGAAUAGUCACAGCGGAAGGAGAUCUGCUUAAGCCAGUGAUGCCGUCUGUCACUUUUCAAAAAUGCCUGUGAAACUUCUCUUUCGGAAUUGCCCACAAAGCUGGAUUACGAGCUUCCCAUGAAACCAGACUCAUCACUCAAGCUGCGACUUGGUUUGUGACCCCAGACAGCAUUUCCCAGCUUGAUCACCCAACCUACUCAGCAGACUUCGUUCUGAAUGACUUAGAACUGUUUCCAAAACUCACACCCGCCCUUGGAGGAUACAUGCUGUCAGACUUAUCUUUCUGCCACACCUCGGAUCAUGCGCUUCAGUGCCUCUCGGUUGCAUAGAGAAUUAAGCUCCAACAUGUCAGCUAGAUUUUCAGAACUUUAUACAACAUGCAGCCCCCACCUAGCUUUGCAGUUCUAUCAUCCCAGAACACACGAUGCCCUCUCUACUUACUGAUGAUAGGUACCAUUUACUGAGCCCUUAUUAUGUGCCCCACACUGUGCUAAGAGCUUAAUAUAAUCUCUCAUUUUGUCCUUAUAUGACUUUGUAAGAUAAAUGUUAUCUCUAUAGUAUAAAUAAUAAUAAAACAGGGGUCACUAACACUUUGUACAGCAGUUACAAUGUGCUAAGCCACCGUCCAAUAGAAAUAUGAGCCAUAUUUGUCAUUUUAAUUUUCUAAUUGCCACACUAAAAAAGUAAAAACUAGGUGAAAUUGAUUUUAAUAAAGUAUUUUAUCAAUGAGCAUUUAAUCAAUAUAAAAACUUUUUAAUGAUAUAUAUCAUAUUCUUUUUUAGUGUGUAUUAAAUCUUUGAAAUCCAUUGUGUAUUUUACACCUACAGCACGUCUCAAUUUGGACACUAAAUUUUUAUUGGAAAUACUUGAUCUAUAUUUAAAUAUUGUAAAAAGUACAGUGAAAAAAGUAGAUUCACAUACCCAAGUUGUUCCAAACAUGCUUAAAAGAUUUCCAAUACCUGAAUCAAGUACCAAAUAAUCAUUUUUUUCUAUGCUCAUCCCUAUUGACAAAACUGAUUUAAUUUUAAACUUUUAACUUCACUUUCAAUCAAUUAAAAUUAAAUAAAAUUAAAAAUUUAGUUUCUCAGUUGCACUAGCCACUUACCAAGUGCUCAUGUGGUUAGUGGCUGCCAUGUUGGGCAAUGCAACUCUAGGCACUUUACUACUGUCAACACAAACGUUUGAGGUAGCUUCAUUUUACAGAUAAAGAAAUAGAGGCAUAGAGAAGUAGUAACUUGCACUAGUAUACACAGUUAAUAAGCUGAUGUUCAGAAUGGUUGAUUUACCUUAGCUAGUAAAGGUUGGAAACAGGAUUUGAACUCAGGAUUGUUUGUGUCCAAAGUCUAAAUUCUUAUCCACUGUGCUAGUCUGCUCUACAGACUUAAUUUCUCACUAUUCUCCUAAAAUCCUUACUUUCUUGAUUCUGGUCUUUUUAUCAGACUGUUUCCUCUGUCUAGAAUGCCAUGGAAGGCCCAUUUUGAAUGUUAUUCAUUCAUUCAGACAGUCAUUCAGUCAAUCACUUUUUCAACAAAUAUUGCCAGCCAUGUUUCAAAUAUCUCCCACGUGAAAUACAGCCGUGAUCAAGACAGACGUCCCCCCUGCCCGCACAGAGCUUCAAUUCUGCCGUAACGCUUCUCACACUUCGGUCUCAGGAUUCUGUAACACUCUGAACGUUAUUGAGGACCCGAAGGGCUUUUGAUUAUGUGAGUUAUAGCUGCCAAUCUUUAUUGUACUAGAAAUUAAAACUAGGAAAUUGUAAAAAUAUUUAUUCAUUCAUUCAAAAAUAACAUGAUGAACAUAUUACAUGUAAACAUAAAUAAUGUAUAACUGAAAAGACAACUAUAUUUUCCAAAACAAAAAAUAAGAGUAGCAUUGUUUUAUAAUUUUGCUAAUCUCUUUAAUGUGUGACCUAAUAAAAGGCAGCUGGGUUCUCAUCUCUGCUUUUGUCUUUAAUCUGUUGCAAUUUGUCAUUUUGGUUGAAGUAUGUAAGAAAAUCUUGCCUCACUAAGAUAUAUAAUUGGAAAACAGAGGAGUAUCUUAAAUGCUUUUUCAGAUAAUUGCGGAAAUUCUUCUUUGUUACUAUACCAAAAAUCAACAAGUGCUAAUUUCUUUAAAGUUAGCUACAAUGUGGAAUCUGAAACCAUAUCAAUGGUAAAUAUAUGUUUCAUUGAUCCUUUCUAUUGUCUUUUUUGUUUCAAUAUCGUUUAUUUCUGCUCUUAUUUUUAUUAUUUCCCUCCUUCUACUGACUCUGGGCCUUGUUUGUUCUUCUUUUUCUAGUUCUGUUAGGUGUCGUUUGAGGUUGCUUACGUGAGCUUUUUCUUGUUUAGUGAGGUGAGCCUGUAUUGCGAUGAAUUUCCCUCUUAGGACUGCUUUUGCUGCAUCCCAGAUGAUUUGGUAUGUCGUGUUCUCAUUUUCAUUUGUCUCCAGAUAAUAUUUGAUUUCUUCUUUAAUUUCUUCAAUGAUCCAUUGUUUGUUGAGAAGCGUGUUGUUU
Equus caballus (horse) is the source of this 3766-nucleotide long non-coding RNA. Lineage: Eukaryota; Metazoa; Chordata; Mammalia; Perissodactyla; Equidae. The record is from Ensembl.